AGCGAACGCUGGCGGCGUGCUUAACACAUGCAAGUCGAGUGCGCGUUUCUGUAGCAAUACAGGAAUGGCGCACGGCGCACGGGUGCGUAACACGUGGGUAAUCUGCCCUCUGAUGGGGAAUAACCCGCCGAAAGGCGGGCUAAUUCCGCAUAACAUUCCGGGGACCUCGGUCUCUGGAUUCAAAGGCGUAAGUCGUCGGAGGAGGAGCCCGCGCACGAUUAGCUGGUUGGAGGGUAACGGCCUACCAAGGCUAUGAUCGUUAGCUGGUCUGAGAGGAUGGCCAGCCACACUGGAACUGAGACACGGUCCAGACUCCUACGGGAGGCAGCAGGUGGGAAUCUUGCGCAAUGGGACGAAAGCCUGACGCAGCGACGCCGCGGUGGGGGA
Molecule: ribosomal RNA, 387 nt
Filed under: uncultured bacterium
Lineage: Bacteria
Description: bacterial SSU rRNA
Rfam family: Bacterial small subunit ribosomal RNA
Source: RNAcentral